RNAcentral lists this ribosomal RNA (488 nucleotides) under uncultured bacterium. Its description in RNAcentral is "bacterial SSU rRNA". It matches the Rfam family "Bacterial small subunit ribosomal RNA", at positions 333 to 817 of the family's 1533-position model. The record is from RNAcentral.
AGACUCCUACGGGAGGCAGCAGUGAGGAAUAUUGGGCAAUGCUCGAAAGAGUGACCCAGCAACGCCGCGUGGAGGAUGAAGGUAUUCUAUAUCGUAAACUCCUGUGAGAGCAGACGAAAGACAGAUUAUUAAUCUGGAUGACUGUAUGCUCAGAGGAAGCCCCGGCUAACUACGUGCCAGCAGCCGCGGUAAUACGUAGGGGGCAAGCGUUGUCCGGAUUCACUGGGUGUAAAGGGCGCGUAGGCGGGAUAGCAAGUCAGUGGUGAAAUCUUGCAGCUCAACUGCAAAACUGCCAUUGAUACUGCUGUUCUUGAAUGUGGAAGAGAGAGGCGGAAUUCCAGGUGUAGUAGUGAAAUACGUAGAUAUCUGGAAGAACACCAAAUUGCGAAGGCUGCUUCUUGGUCCAUUAUUGACGCUGAGGCGCGAAAAGCGUGGGGAGCAAACAGGAUUAGAUACCCUGGUAGUCCACGCUGUAAACGAUGAGUGCU